UCGGCUUAGAGUUUGAUCAUGGCUCAGAUUGAACGCUGGCGGCAGGCUUAACACAUGCAAGUCGAACGGUAAAGUAGCUUGCUACUUACGAGUGGCGGACGGGUGAGUAACGUAUGGGAAUUUACCGAGUGGAGGGGGACAACAGUUGGAAACGGCUGCUAAUACCGCAUAACGUCGAGAGACCAAAGGGUUUCGACUUGCCAUUUGAUGAGCCCAUAUGAGAUUAGCUAGUUGGUGUGGUAAUGGCUCACCAAGGCGACGAUCUCUAGCUGGUUUGAGAGGAUGACCAGCCACACUGGGACUGAGACGCGGCCCAGACUCCUACGGGAGGCAGCAGUGGGGAAUAUUGCACAAUGGGGGGAACCCUGAUGCAGCCAUGCCGCGUGUAUGAAGAAGGCCUUAGGGUUGUAAAGUACUUUCGUGGAGGAGGAAGGGUUUACGUAAUCGUGGACAUUGACGUUACUCCAAGAAGAAGCACCGGCUAACUCCGUGCCAGCAGCCGCGGUAAUACGGAGGUGCGAGCGUUAAUCGGAAUGACUGGGCGUAAAGGGCAUGUA
This 557-nucleotide ribosomal RNA is filed under the name uncultured Enterobacteriaceae bacterium. RNAcentral describes it as "bacterial SSU rRNA". It matches the Rfam family "Bacterial small subunit ribosomal RNA", at positions 1 to 573 of the family's 1533-position model. Lineage: Bacteria; Pseudomonadati; Pseudomonadota; Gammaproteobacteria; Enterobacterales; Enterobacteriaceae. The record is from RNAcentral.